UUGACCGGGGUGAUACACCUGUCAUAUGGUAACACAGGUAUCCUAAGGCUAGCUCAGGGAGGACAGAAACCUCCCAUGGAGCAGAAGGGCAAAAGCUCGCUUGAUCUUGACUUUAAUUAUAGCACAUAAAUUUUAAUAUGCUUUGUUUCCAUUCAAUUCAAAACAUCUUAUGAUUUUCCUUUUUUAUUCUUUGAUUCAUAAAUUAUGUAAAAG
RNAcentral lists this non-coding RNA (213 nucleotides) under Loxodonta africana (African savanna elephant). RNAcentral describes it as "Eukaryotic large subunit ribosomal RNA". It matches the Rfam family "Eukaryotic large subunit ribosomal RNA", at positions 2621 to 2802 of the family's 3401-position model. Lineage: Eukaryota; Metazoa; Chordata; Mammalia; Proboscidea; Elephantidae. The record is from Rfam by way of RNAcentral.